UUGAGGAAGUAAAAGUCGUAACAAGGUCUCCGUAGGUGAACCUGCGGAGGGAUCAUUACACAAAUAUGAAGGCGGGCUGGAACCUCUCGGGGUUACAGCCUUGCUGAAUUAUUCACCCUUGUCUUUUGCGUACUUCUUGUUUCCUUGGUGGGUUCGCCCACCACUAGGACAAACAUAAACCUUUUGUAAUUGCAAUCAGCGUCAGUAACAAAUUAAUAAUUACAACUUUCAACAACGGAUCUCUUGGUUCUGGCAUCGAUGAAGAACGCAGCGAAAUGCGAUAAGUAGUGUGAAUUGCAGAAUUCAGUGAAUCAUCGAAUCUUUGAACGCACAUUGCGCCCUUUGGUAUUCCAAAGGGCAUGCCUGUUCGAGCGUCAUUUGUACCCUCAAGCUUUGCUUGGUGUUGGGCGUCUUGUCUCUAGCUUUGCUGGAGACUCGCCUUAAAGUAAUUGGCAGCCGGCCUACUGGUUUCGGAGCGCAGCACAAGUCGCACUCUCUAUCAGCAAAGGUCUAGCAUCCAUUAAGCCUUUUUUUCAACUUUUGACCUCGGAUCAGGUAGGGAUACCCGCUGAACUUAAGCAUAUCAAAGCCGGGGAGGAA
This 600-nucleotide unclassified non-coding RNA is filed under the name Alternaria tenuissima. RNAcentral's name for it is "partial contains 18S rRNA, ITS1, 5.8S rRNA, ITS2 and 28S". The stretch from base 224 to 377 matches the Rfam family "5.8S ribosomal RNA". Lineage: Eukaryota; Fungi; Ascomycota; Dothideomycetes; Pleosporales; Pleosporaceae. The record is from RNAcentral.